UUCAGGCUCAGAUUGAACGCUGGCGGCAGGCCUAACACAUGCAAGUCGAACGGUAGCACAGAGGAGCUUGCUCCUUGGGUGACGAGUGGCGGACGGGUGAGUAAUGUCUGGGAAACUGCCCGAUGGAGGGGGAUAACUACUGGAAACGGUAGCUAAUACCGCAUAACGUCGCAAGACCAAAGAGGGGGACCUUCGGGCCUCUUGCCAUCGGAUGUGCCCAGAUGGGAUUAGCUAGUAGGUGGGGUAACGGCUCACCUAGGCGACGAUCCCUAGCUGGUCUGAGAGGAUGACCAGCCACACUGGAACUGAGACACGGUCCAGACUCCUACGGGAGGCAGCAGUGGGGAAUAUUGCACAAUGGGCGCAAGCCUGAUGCAGCCAUGCCGCGUGUAUGAAGAAGGCCUUCGGGUUGUAAAGUACUUUCAGCGAGGAGGAAGGCUAUU
Molecule: ribosomal RNA, 443 nt
Filed under: Citrobacter freundii
Lineage: Bacteria; Pseudomonadati; Pseudomonadota; Gammaproteobacteria; Enterobacterales; Enterobacteriaceae
Description: bacterial SSU rRNA
Rfam family: Bacterial small subunit ribosomal RNA
Source: RNAcentral